This 393-nucleotide ribosomal RNA is filed under the name uncultured bacterium. RNAcentral describes it as "partial 16S ribosomal RNA". It matches the Rfam family "Bacterial small subunit ribosomal RNA", at positions 523 to 918 of the family's 1533-position model. The record is from RNAcentral.
AUACGGAGGAUCCAAGCGUUAUCCGGAUUUAUUGGGUUUAAAGGGUGCGUAGGCGGACUGGUAAGUCAGCUGUGAAAGUUUGCGGCUUAACCGUAAAAUUGCAGUUGAAACUGGCAGUCUUGAGUACAGUAGAGGUGGGCGGAAUUCGUGGUGUAGCGGGGAAAUGCUUAGAUAUCACGAAGAACUCCGUUUGCGAAGGCAGCUCACUGGACUGCAACUGACACUGAUGCUCGAAAGUGUGGGUAUCAAACAGGAUUAGAUACCCUGGUAGUCCACACAGUAAACGACGAAUACUCGCUGUUUGCGAUAUACAGUAAGCGGCCAAGCGAAAGCAUUAAGUAUUCCACCUGGGGAGUACGCCGGCAACGGUGAAACUCAAAUGAAUUGACGGGG